Long non-coding RNA from Limulus polyphemus (Atlantic horseshoe crab), 218 nucleotides. RefSeq lists it as uncharacterized. NCBI's taxonomy places the organism in Eukaryota, Metazoa, Arthropoda, Merostomata, Xiphosura, Limulidae. The record is from RefSeq and is a predicted model, not a curated record. The transcript has 3 exons.
AGGAUAAUCAACCGAACACUCCGGAGGAAUUAGUGGUGGACACAACACCGUACUCCAUUACCACCCCUGUGGUAGUCAAAGGGUCUAAGCCGAUUCAUGAGCUACAACCGAUUACCUUAAAGGCACAAGAUUUUCAGGUGUGUAUUACUAUUAUUGAAGCACGCCACCUGGCGGGAUUGAAUAUGGACCCAGUUGUUUGUGUUCAAGUAGGCGAUCAA